GGGCACAGAGUAUAGGGAUUUUUGGAUCAGUCCAUCCGUGAUGUGAAUUGUUUGUGUUGUGAUGUAUUCCAUGAAAGCAUAUGUUUAUUAAACCGUUUUUACUAUUCUGCUCAUUGGGCUCUUGUAGCUCACCCCUUUCCCCUAACCCCCAGGUUUGCGGGGCCAGAAAUAGCAGGAAGUAAGCAAGGGUAAUGGCUAUG
RNAcentral lists this long non-coding RNA (200 nucleotides) under Manihot esculenta (cassava). RNAcentral describes it as "long non-coding RNA (MESC_LNC006838)". Lineage: Eukaryota; Viridiplantae; Streptophyta; Magnoliopsida; Malpighiales; Euphorbiaceae. The record is from RNAcentral.